AAUGUAGCUUUCCUCAGUGACGGGCAACUUCCUCUGACCCUUGACCAAUCUAGACAUGGAGCCUUGAGGGCGACAAGGUGGUCCUAUGACAGAGAGGCUGGGGUUUGAGAGGUCGAUCCUAAGACAGAGGUGGCUACACCCCGUUUAAACGUGCGGGCCGGUCAAAUGCUCCUCUGCCCAGUUUCUCCCCCAAUAACACACACGUAUAGCCCAGAACGGUGUGUUACAGCAUAAGUUCAUUCCUAGCCAUUGGGGUGCAGUCCUAACUGCAAGAGUGGCUUGCCAUGGCCGAGCUGGGCACUCUGUGAGGCAUGUCUGAUCUCUCUCAGACCAUUACUUCCACCUAAUGGUUUUUUUUUUUUAAAGAAAAAUGGGGGAGAUGCACGGAGCCAUAUUGGAUUUGGGCCUAGCCGCUUUUUGACUGCAUGGUUCAAAGUGACUCUGGGCUGUUUGGCCACAGAGACUCACCCCGAAGAUGACUGCCAUAAAUCUUAAGAUUGUUGGAUAAAGCCUCUCCCAUGAAUUUACGGCACAGGAGUAUAACAUUCAAGGGAUGCCUCAGCUCGAGCAGAUACCAGUUAUCUCCUCAGUCAACACCCAGUGUCUCCACCACCUGACCUCAUCGCCUGACUUCUUUGCCUCCAGCUAUCACUGCCUAUACCCUCAUCUCCCCCUCCUUCAUAUUUCACAAAGGUCACUCCCCCUACCUGAAAGCCUUAAAAGCUGCAAUGUUCAUCCCAAUAAACGAGACCUUGACAACA
Molecule: long non-coding RNA, 761 nt
Filed under: Rattus norvegicus (Norway rat)
Lineage: Eukaryota; Metazoa; Chordata; Mammalia; Rodentia; Muridae
Description: long non-coding RNA NONRATT028364
Source: RNAcentral